UCAAUAACAGUCUCAGAAAAGAACUCAGUUAAUGUGCAGAAGUUGAGGCUGUCAGAUACAGGCCUCCCAGUAUUGCUAUCAUUAUCAUUGAGCAGAGAGACUUCCUGCGAGAUGAGGGUUGCUCUCGAACUUAUUUACCCAUUCUCAUUAUCAUUGAGUUGAUCUCAGAUUCAGUUGUUAGUGUUCUAGAGACUUCCUGCUAGAUGAGGGUUGAUCUCAGAUUCAAUUGUUCAGUGUUCUAGAGACUUCCUGCUAGAUGAGGGUUGAUCUCAGAUUCAAUUGUUCAGUGUUCUAGAGACUUCCUGCUAGAUGAGAGUUGAUCUCAGAUUCAGUUGUUCAGUGUUCCAGAGUUGGUGAAUUUGAAUAUCAAAUAUCAGUAAUAUCAGUUAUCCGAUUUCUCAGUAUGGAUAAGUAUAGAUGUCAGCUCUAGUA
RNAcentral lists this long non-coding RNA (432 nucleotides) under Capsicum annuum. RNAcentral's name for it is "long non-coding RNA (CANN_LNC001669)". The record is from RNAcentral. Lineage: Eukaryota; Viridiplantae; Streptophyta; Magnoliopsida; Solanales; Solanaceae.